AGUGAACGCUGGCGGUAGGCCUAACACAUGCAAGUCGAACGGCAGCACAGUAAGAGCUUGCUCUUACGGGUGGCGAGUGGCGGACGGGUGAGGAAUACAUCGAAAUCUACUUUUUCGUGGGGGAUAACGUAGGGAAACUUACGCUAAUACCGCAUACGACCUACGGGUGAAAGCAGGGGAUCUUCGGACCUUGCGCGAUUGAAUGAGCCGAUGUCGGAUUAGCUAGUUGGCGGGGUAAAGGCCCACCAGGGCGACGAUCCGUAGCUGGUCUGAGAGGAUGAUCAGCCACACUGGAACUGAGACACGGUCCAGACUCCUAAGGGAGGCAGCAGUGGGGAAUAUUGGACAAUGGGCGCAAGCCUGAUCCAGCCAUACCGCGUGGGUGAAGAAGGCCUUCGGGUUGUAAAGCCCUUUUGUUGGGAAAGAAAGGCAGCAGGUUAAUACCCCGCUGUUCUGACGGUACCCAAAGAAUAAGCACCGGCUAACUUCGUG
Molecule: ribosomal RNA, 492 nt
Filed under: uncultured bacterium
Lineage: Bacteria
Description: partial 16S ribosomal RNA
Rfam family: Bacterial small subunit ribosomal RNA
Source: RNAcentral